AGCAGCCGCGGUAAUUCCAGCUCCAAUAGCGUAUAUUAAAGUUGUUGCAGUUAAAAAGCUCGUAGUUGAAUUUCGGGAUCAAUUUAUUGGUCGUGCUAUUGUACGUACUGGUAUUAUUGAUUCCUACCUUCUGACGAACCAUGAUGUCAUUAAUUUGGUGUCUUGGGGAAUCAGGACUGUUACUUUGAAAAAAUUAGAGUGUUUAAAGCAGGCUCACGCUUGAAUACAUUAGCAUGGAAUAACGAAAUAGGACGUUUGAUUCUAUUUUGUUGGUUUCUAGGAUCGACGUAAUGAUUAAUAGGGAUAGUUGGGGGCAUUAGUAUUCAAUUGUCAGAGGUGAAAUUCUUGGAUUUAUUGAAGACUAACUACUGCGAAAGCAUUUGCCAAGGAUGUUUUCAUUAAUCAAGAACGAAAGUUAGGGGAUCGAAGACGAUCAGAUACCGUCGUAGUCUUAACCAUAAACUAUGCCGACUAGGGAUCGGAUGAUGUUAAUUUUUUAAU
This 501-nucleotide ribosomal RNA is filed under the name uncultured Glomus. Its description in RNAcentral is "SSU rRNA". It matches the Rfam family "Eukaryotic small subunit ribosomal RNA", at positions 569 to 1075 of the family's 1831-position model. The record is from RNAcentral. Lineage: Eukaryota; Fungi; Glomeromycota; Glomeromycetes; Glomerales; Glomeraceae.